This is a non-coding RNA of Phthorimaea operculella (potato tuberworm), 72 nucleotides long. The record is from the annotation of a GenBank genome assembly. Lineage: Eukaryota; Metazoa; Arthropoda; Insecta; Lepidoptera; Gelechiidae.
GCGCCCGUAGCUCAGUUAGCAGAGCAGUGGGACGGUACCCCACGGUCCCUGGUUCAAAUCCCGGCGGCCGCU